RNAcentral lists this transfer RNA (59 nucleotides) under Loxodonta africana (African savanna elephant). It matches the Rfam family "tRNA", at positions 7 to 64 of the family's 71-position model. Rfam says of the family: Transfer RNA (tRNA) molecules are approximately 80 nucleotides in length. Their secondary structure includes four short double-helical elements and three loops (D, anti-codon, and T loops). Further hydrogen bonds mediate the characteristic L-shaped molecular structure. tRNAs have two regions of fundamental functional importance: the anti-codon, which is responsible for specific mRNA codon recognition, and the 3' end, to which the tRNAs corresponding amino acid is attached (by aminoacyl-tRNA synthetases). tRNAs cope with the degeneracy of the genetic code in two manners: having more than one tRNA (with a specific anti-codon) for a particular amino acid; and 'wobble' base-pairing, i.e. permitting non-standard base-pairing at the 3rd anti-codon position. The record is from Rfam by way of RNAcentral. Lineage: Eukaryota; Metazoa; Chordata; Mammalia; Proboscidea; Elephantidae.
AUGGCUAAGUGGUUAAGCACUCAACUGCUAACUGAAAGAUCAGUGGUUCAAAUCCACCU